CCUACGGGAGGCAGCAGUGGGGAAUAUUGGACAAUGGGCGGAAGCCUGAUCCAGCAACGCCGCGUGAGGGAUGACGGCCUUCGGGUUGUAAACCUCUUUCAGUACCGACGAAGCGAGAGUGACGGUAGGUACAGAAGAAGCACCGGCCAACUACGUGCCAGCAGCCGCGGUAAU
Molecule: ribosomal RNA, 174 nt
Filed under: uncultured bacterium
Lineage: Bacteria
Description: partial 16S ribosomal RNA
Rfam family: Bacterial small subunit ribosomal RNA
Source: RNAcentral